RNAcentral lists this ribosomal RNA (567 nucleotides) under Lactobacillus sp. RNAcentral's name for it is "bacterial SSU rRNA". It matches the Rfam family "Bacterial small subunit ribosomal RNA", at positions 210 to 748 of the family's 1533-position model. Lineage: Bacteria; Bacillati; Bacillota; Bacilli; Lactobacillales; Lactobacillaceae. The record is from RNAcentral.
GGCUAUCACUUCUGGAUGGACCUGCGGCGCAUUAGCUUGUUGGUGGGGUAACGGCCUACCAAGGCAGUGAUGCGUAGCCGAGUUGAGAGACUGAUCGGCCACAAUGGGACUGAGACACGGCCCAUACUCCUACGGGAGGCAGCAGUAGGGAAUCUUCCAAGCUACCCAAUGGGCGCAAGCCUGAUGGAGCAACACCGCGUGAGUGAAGAAGGUUUUCGGAUCGUAAAGCUCUGUUGUUGAAGAAGAACGUGCAUGAGAGUAACUGUUCAUGCAGUGACGGUAUUCAACCAGAAAGUCACGGCUAACUACGUGCCAGCAGCCGCGGUAAUACGUAGGUGGCAAGCGUUAUCCGGAUUUAUUGGGCGUAAAGAGAGUGCAGGCGGUUUCUUAAGUCUGAUGUUUGACGAAAGCCUUCGGCUCAACCGAAGAAGUGCAUCGGAAACUGGGAAACUUGAGUACAGAAGAGGGCAGUGGAACUCCAUGUGUAGCGGUGGAAUGCGUAGAUAUAUGGAAGAACACCAGUGGCGAAGGCGGCUGCCUGGUCUGUAAGGCAAGCCUCUGACGCUG